Molecule: transfer RNA, 75 nt
Filed under: Bacillota bacterium
Lineage: Bacteria; Bacillati; Bacillota
Also listed under: 1 other name
Description: tRNA-Asn
Rfam family: tRNA
About the family: Transfer RNA (tRNA) molecules are approximately 80 nucleotides in length. Their secondary structure includes four short double-helical elements and three loops (D, anti-codon, and T loops). Further hydrogen bonds mediate the characteristic L-shaped molecular structure. tRNAs have two regions of fundamental functional importance: the anti-codon, which is responsible for specific mRNA codon recognition, and the 3' end, to which the tRNAs corresponding amino acid is attached (by aminoacyl-tRNA synthetases). tRNAs cope with the degeneracy of the genetic code in two manners: having more than one tRNA (with a specific anti-codon) for a particular amino acid; and 'wobble' base-pairing, i.e. permitting non-standard base-pairing at the 3rd anti-codon position.
Source: RNAcentral
UCCGAGGUAGCUCAAUGGUGGAGCAGGCGGCUGUUAACCGCAAGGUCGAGGGUUCGAGCCCCUCCCUCGGAGCCA